CUUCCACUCCAUGGGCGACGGCACACGGCGCGCCGUGCACAGCCAGUGAACAAACCCCUCGCGCAGCCCCAUUGGCGUUUUUUGCGAGUGAGCGUGCGGGCGCCGACGGUAGGCCUCGAUGGCCGCACGCGCGUCGUCAGCGCCGGGCAACCACAUGAUGCACGGCCACCUGUCGGUGAACACCCUCACCGCCAUGGCGGCGCCCCACAGUGGGCUGGCAGGAUCGCAACACACGAGCACAUAGCGCGAGACGUCGGCCUCGUAAGGGCGCGUGCUGGUCUCUCGGGACACGCCGACGGGCAGCCACGCACGCAGGUUGCCCAUGAGUAGGACGGGCACAUGGUAUAUCCGCACGAGCGCCGCCGGUGCUGGGUUCUCGGGGCUGUACCGCUGGGGCCAGCCCUCGUCACCGAACAGACCGUAGCUGCUCAUGCACUUGAAAGGGUCCUGGCGCGGUGCAUCAUCAGAUUCGUCGCCAAACACGAUGAGGUGGCCCGCGGCGUCGCUGCCGUCGUCAUGAUGGUCGGCCGAUCCGGCGUCCGCCAGAACGUCUGCCGCAGGCGGCGCACUGCCGCGUUCGACGUUUUUCUCGGCGACUCGGUCGCCAACGUCUCGAUUGCAGCCGCAGUCGUCGCUAGCAUCGUCGCGGCUGGCGUCGGAUGCGGUCUCAUCGUAGUCGUCGCCAUCUACACAGGUACUUUGGCGUUGGCUCGCUAUCCAUGCCACCACAUCAUCAUUGUCGGACUCGUCGUCGCUGUUUUCGGAAAAGCCAUCGCAGCCCUCGUAUACUCCGCCGUCGCCGCCACCAUCACCACCAUCGCCGUCCUCCUCCAUCCCAAGGCCAGCCCCAUCGGCGUCAUCAGUAUCGUCUACGACAUAGUGCGCGCCAUCAGCGUUAUCGCCACCGGCAAAGUCCGAGGCCGUGUCGAUUGUCGGCGAGCCGCCACCGUGACCGUCCGCUGGCCAGUAUUCUAUGUCGUAGAAUACACCAUCGACGCAGCCACUGUUGAUGCCGUCAUAUUGACGAGGGCCGCAGUGUUUGUCAAACAGAGAGCGCGCGCGGCGAAUGUCGUCGGCGAGGCACUGGGCAGCGUCGGGGUCGAUCCAUGCAUCCAGACCCGCAGGAACACGGCACGCCUGGACCGGUGGCGUGGGCACAUACACAUCUGGGCACAUAUCAUGCCAUACGGCGGCCCAUACAUGGGGCUCGCUCAUGCGCACUCGCUCCAUGGGCAACUUGACGUGAUGGGGGUCAUCGAAUGCGCUCGCAAGAGCGCGCGCACACGCGUCACACACAAAGCGGUUGCACUCGUGCGAUUUGACAUGGAGCGACCAGUCGGGGGCGCCGGUGCACUUGUCCAACGACAAACGCUUGCCAUCAAAGAGGCGGUAGGAACAGCAGAAUCGCAGCCGCGGAUCUACACUCGCACCGGCGUCGCCCUCCGUGCCUUUGUCUUUUGUAUCCGACAGGGAGGCGUCGGCGUCGGGCGUUUGAUCGUCCUGUGCAGGUCCAUAGUGGUCGACGGUGCCAUCGUCGUGUGUAUCGUAUCCGUCCGGGCGGAAGAGGCGCUGGUUGCGAUACUGACUGGCCAUGUCGGCGUCGUCGUCGCAUUCGGUCGCAAACCGCUGCCACUCAUCGACGAACGCGUCCAUGGACUCGCGUGCUGCAGCCCGUAGCGCGCUUGUGCGGUGCUGGGCCACGCCGGCGCACACUUGCCAAAGGCCUGUGCACGUGGCGCCCAGCGACGCCACAUCCACCAGCGAGUCGAGCGCGUCUGCAAUGCGCCACGCGAUCUCGGGCGGCAAAUCGGGAAGCAGUGUGGGGUGCCCGGUCGGCGCGUGGGCAGCCAUGUUUCAGACUCUCUUGUGCGCCUCUUUCGGGCCGCGGCUUUUUUUUUGAGGUGUAGACGCGCUUUCUCGGGCGGUCGCGUGCGAUAUGUUCCUCCACUAUGCCAGAAAGAAAGAGACAGCCCGAGGAGGGCGGCUGGCGCGUCUGGUCGGGCGCCCGCUGCCGUGGUGCCGGGUGCCUUGCGUUUCCCUUCUUUCCCUAAAGAAGAAAAGGCGCAGGAAAAAAACACGAACCCGAAUGGGCGGCACCAGGGCGACCUGGCCGCCUGCAAAAAAACACACACAAAGGAGGCCCGCGCCCCGUUCUUUCGUGUGCGCUCUGACGCCGCCCCACACUGUUUGGGCGGGUGGGUCCUUCAGGCGAAAAAAAACCAAAUACCUAUAUUUCGGCGUGUUUUCUUUCAGUCCACACCCCAGCCCAACCACCCGCCGUUUUCAAUUCCUGGCAACUGCCCUUUUUGGGUGCGCUUACCGACCGAUUGGCUUGGACAGCGCAUGCAUACAUAGAAAGGAAAAAAAGGGAGACCAUUUGAUUGCAAGCCGAUGGCAUGGAACCUUGGGCGCAGACAAAUAGAAAAG
This 2427-nucleotide long non-coding RNA is filed under the name Pandoravirus neocaledonia. RNAcentral's name for it is "hypothetical ncRNA". The record is from RNAcentral.